GACGAACGCUGGCGGCGUGCUUAACACAUGCAAGUCGAGCGGUAAGGCCCUUUCGGGGGUACGACGAGCGGCGAACGGGUGAGUAACACGUGGGUGACCUGCCCUCAGCUCUGGGAUAAGCCUGGGAAACUGGGUCUAAUACCGGAUAUGACUCCAUGACGCAUGUUGUGGGGUGGAAAGCCUUGUGCGGCUGAGGAUGGGCCUGCGGCCUAUCAGCUUG
RNAcentral lists this ribosomal RNA (220 nucleotides) under uncultured bacterium. Its description in RNAcentral is "partial 16S ribosomal RNA". It matches the Rfam family "Bacterial small subunit ribosomal RNA", at positions 28 to 248 of the family's 1533-position model. The record is from RNAcentral.